This 496-nucleotide ribosomal RNA is filed under the name uncultured bacterium. RNAcentral describes it as "partial 16S ribosomal RNA". It matches the Rfam family "Bacterial small subunit ribosomal RNA", at positions 29 to 507 of the family's 1533-position model. The record is from RNAcentral.
AUGAACGCUGGCGGCGUGCCUAAUACAUGCAAGUCGAGCGAACGGACGAGAAGCUUGCUUCUCUGAUGUUAGCGGCGGACGGGUGAGUAACACGUGGAUAACCUACCUAUAAGACUGGGAUAACUUCGGGAAACCGUAGCUAAUACCGGAUAGUAUUUUGAACCGCAUGGUUCAAAAGUGAAAGACGGUCUUGCUGUCACUUAUAGAUGGAUCCGCGCUGCAUUAGCUAGUUGGUAAGGUAACGGCUUACCAAGGCAACGAUGCAUAGCCGACCUGAGAGGGUGAUCGGCCACACUGGAACUGAGACACGGUCCAGACUCCUACGGGAGGCAGCAGUAGGGAAUCUUCCGCAAUGGGCGAAAGCCUGACGGAGCAACGCCGCGUGAGUGAUGAAGGUCUUCGGAUCGUAAAACUCUGUUAUUAGGGAAGAACAUAUGUGUAAGUAACUGUGCACAUCUUGACGGUACCUAAUCAGAAAGCCACGGCUAACUACGUG